ACCUGGAAUUGGCCAAGGGCUCAGGAG
RNAcentral lists this non-coding RNA (27 nucleotides) under Homo sapiens (human). Lineage: Eukaryota; Metazoa; Chordata; Mammalia; Primates; Hominidae. The record is from RNAcentral.